Molecule: ribosomal RNA, 219 nt
Filed under: uncultured Staphylococcus sp.
Lineage: Bacteria; Bacillati; Bacillota; Bacilli; Caryophanales; Staphylococcaceae
Description: partial 16S ribosomal RNA
Rfam family: Bacterial small subunit ribosomal RNA
Source: RNAcentral
AUAACUUCGGGAAACCGGAGCUAAUACCGGAUAAUAUUCGAACCGCAUGGUUCGAUAGUGAAAGAUGGUUUUUGCUAUCACUUAUAGAUGGACCCGCGCCGUAUUAGCUAGUUGGUAAGGUAACGGCUUACCAAGGCGACGAUACGUAGCCGACCUGAGAGGGUGAUCGGCCACACUUGAACUGAGACACGGUCCAGACUCCUACGGGAGGCAGCAGCA